GGCAGGUCCGAAGGCAGGGAAGGAUCUCAGUCGAUCGUCCACAGUCAAGUACAGAUCAAACUGCUUGUUCUGCUCUUUCCCCCUUCUCACCACUGCCCUUGACUAGUCUUAA
This is an unclassified non-coding RNA of Otolemur garnettii (small-eared galago), 112 nucleotides long. It matches the Rfam family "Y RNA". From Rfam's summary of the family: Y RNAs are components of the Ro ribonucleoprotein particle (Ro RNP), in association with Ro60 and La proteins. The Y RNAs and Ro60 and La proteins are well conserved, but the function of the Ro RNP is not known. The record is from Ensembl. Lineage: Eukaryota; Metazoa; Chordata; Mammalia; Primates; Galagidae.